This 251-nucleotide ribosomal RNA is filed under the name uncultured bacterium. Its description in RNAcentral is "partial 16S ribosomal RNA". It matches the Rfam family "Bacterial small subunit ribosomal RNA", at positions 524 to 776 of the family's 1533-position model. The record is from RNAcentral.
UACGUAGGGGCAAGCGUUGUCCGGAAUCAUUGGGCGUAAAGAGCGCGUAGGCGGCCCUGUAAGUCCGCUGUGAAAGUCAAGGGCUCAACCCUUGAAUGCCGGUGGAUACUGCAGGGCUAGAGUCCGGAAGAGGCGAGUGGAAUUCCUGGUGUAGCGGUGAAAUGCGCAGAUAUCAGGAGGAACACCGAUGGCGAAGGCAGCUCGCUGGGACGGUACUGACGCUGAGGCGCGAAGCGUGGGGAGCAAACAGG